RNAcentral lists this transfer RNA (81 nucleotides) under Vararia minispora EC-137. RNAcentral describes it as "tRNA-Asn". It matches the Rfam family "tRNA". Rfam says of the family: Transfer RNA (tRNA) molecules are approximately 80 nucleotides in length. Their secondary structure includes four short double-helical elements and three loops (D, anti-codon, and T loops). Further hydrogen bonds mediate the characteristic L-shaped molecular structure. tRNAs have two regions of fundamental functional importance: the anti-codon, which is responsible for specific mRNA codon recognition, and the 3' end, to which the tRNAs corresponding amino acid is attached (by aminoacyl-tRNA synthetases). tRNAs cope with the degeneracy of the genetic code in two manners: having more than one tRNA (with a specific anti-codon) for a particular amino acid; and 'wobble' base-pairing, i.e. permitting non-standard base-pairing at the 3rd anti-codon position. The record is from RNAcentral. Lineage: Eukaryota; Fungi; Basidiomycota; Agaricomycetes; Russulales; Lachnocladiaceae.
UGCCCCAUGGCUGAGUUGGUUACAGCGUCCGACUGUUAAAAAGCAAUCGGAAGGUCGUGAGUUCGAGCCUCACUGGGGCAG